ACGCUGGCGGCAGGCCUAACACAUGCAAGUCGAGCGGUAGAGAGAAGCUUGCUUCUCUUGAGAGCGGCGGACGGGUGAGUAAUGCCUAGGAAUCUGCCUGGUAGUGGGGGAUAACGUUCGGAAACGGACGCUAAUACCGCAUACGUCCUACGGGAGAAAGCAGGGGACCUUCGGGCCUUGCGCUAUCAGAUGAGCCUAGGUCGGAUUAGCUAGUUGGUGAGGUAAUGGCUCACCAAGGCGACGAUCCGUAACUGGUCUGAGAGGAUGAUCAGUCACACUGGAACUGAGACACGGUCCAGACUCCUACGGGAGGCAGCAGUGGGGAAUAUUGGACAAUGGGCGAAAGCCUGAUCCAGCCAUGCCGCGUGUGUGAAGAAGGUCUUCGGAUUGUAAAGCACUUUAAGUUGGGAGGAAGGGCAUUAACCUAAUACGUUAGUGUUUUGACGUUACCGACAGAAUAAGCACCGGCUGACUCUGUGCCAGCAGCCGCGGUAAUACAGAGGGUGCAAGCGUUAAUCGGAAUUACUGGGCGUAAAGCGCGCGUAGGUGGUUUGUUAAGUUGGAUGUGAAAUCCCCGGGCUCAACCUGGGAACUGCAUUCAAAACUGACUGACUAGAGUAUGGUAGAGGGUGGUGGAAUUUCCUGUGUAGCGGUGAAAUGCGUAGAUAUAGGAAGGAACACCAGUGGCGAAGGCGACCACCUGGACUAAUACUGACACUGGGGUGCGAAAGCGUGGGGAGCAAAC
This 745-nucleotide ribosomal RNA is filed under the name uncultured bacterium. RNAcentral's name for it is "bacterial SSU rRNA". It matches the Rfam family "Bacterial small subunit ribosomal RNA", at positions 33 to 773 of the family's 1533-position model. The record is from RNAcentral.